CAAUUAUCUAUUUCUACAUAACAAAUUACCCCCAAACUUGUUGGAUUAAAAAACAAACAUUUAUUAUGUCACAAAUGAGCAUUAAUGGAAGACAAAGAUAAGAACAUCUAGGGGAGCAGGCCUGUGGCUGGACCUAUAAAGAGGGCAGAACUUUGAGUCUCAUAUUAGUGCCCAUCAGAGAGUAUCCGUUGCUGAAGAAGUCACCAACCAGCUUGCCAUCAGCCUGCCUCGUGGGCCCCCUGGUGCUUGAUGAGAUCAUGAACCUGGUGUCCAUGAAGCUAUAAUGGAGACUAUGGGCCCAGUAGCAUGGUCUUCCUCUCCAAGGUCGAUGCAGCUCUUGCUUCUGCUGAUGCCCUGCCCUGCCAGUAUCAAAGACCAACUCAGAACCUUCAAAGUGGUGCCGGCUCAAGGAUUCCAGUUCACCUUUGAAAAUGUACAGAGCAACAUCCUAGAACUUAAGAAUACCUGAUAUAUUGACAUAAGAUCUCAGAAAUUAUGCAACAAAAAUGGUGCAGCAAUGUGUGAUGACCACAGCAUCCAAUGGUUCCACCCUUUGCUCCAUCAUUUGGAAACAGAUGACUCAAAGAACUACAGAAGAUCGGAACUGGUGAAAGCUAUCUACCAGAGAAGAGUAAUAAAAUUGAAGUGAGUUUGGAUUAUGUUCUCCAUUAUAGCAUCAGAUGGCACCAGCUGAAGAGUCAUCUGUUUUGAAUGUGGAAAUAGCAUUUGACCAGGGAGUCAGAAGAUGUGAGUUCACAGCCUGGCUUCAAUAUUUACUACCACCCUGAUGACUGUGGCCGUAUGCAAUUCUAUUCUCUGAAUUUCAGUGUCUUUAUUUGUAAAAUAGAGAUGUUAUUGCCUGUACUA
Molecule: non-coding RNA, 867 nt
Organism: Odocoileus virginianus texanus
Lineage: Eukaryota; Metazoa; Chordata; Mammalia; Artiodactyla; Cervidae
Source: RefSeq, a predicted model, not a curated record